This 312-nucleotide ribosomal RNA is filed under the name Triticum aestivum (bread wheat). RNAcentral describes it as "partial small subunit ribosomal RNA". The record is from RNAcentral. Lineage: Eukaryota; Viridiplantae; Streptophyta; Magnoliopsida; Poales; Poaceae.
AUGAGGAGUUCUUCCGGCUACUUGUCGCUGGCUGCAGCCGUGGCCACGCUUCUGGUACUGACGGCGGCCACGGAGGCCGAAGGCAUCCGGCUAGACGCCGAGACCCGGGCUUCAGUCGGGAGUAGCGGCAGCAACCCGGUGCACAAUAAACCAAGCGAUGAUUUGGUCAAGGGUUCUACCACUGGCUCGGUCAGCGACAGCGAGACGACGAGAAGCGCCGGUGCUGUGAGCGAAAUUAGGGCAGUGGCGCACGUGCCGGAGUUCCAUGAAGACUACUACGUUCGAACUGUUCACGGUUCUAGGCACCACUGA